ACCCCACUAUCAACCCAACCCCCCCUAGCCUACAGUCUAUAUACCGCCGUCGCCAGCCUACCUUAUGAAAGGAACAAAGUGAGCUAAAUAGUCAUACACUAACACGACAGGUCGAGGUGUAACUUAUGAGGGGGCCUAAGAUGGGCUACAUUUUCUAACCCAGAAAACACGAAUAAACCAUGAAAUAAGGAAACUGAAGGCGGAUUUAGCAGUAUACUAAGAACAAAAUGCUUAGUCGAAACCAACGCAAUGAGGUGCGUACACACCGCCCGUCAUCCCUGUCAACCAACCAAAAACAUCCAUAAUUAAACACUAACCUAAAACAGGGCAAGUCGUAACAAGGUAAGCGUACUGGAAAGUGCGCUUAGAAACAA
Molecule: ribosomal RNA, 374 nt
Filed under: Ptyas dhumnades
Lineage: Eukaryota; Metazoa; Chordata; Lepidosauria; Squamata; Colubridae
Description: partial 12S ribosomal RNA
Rfam family: Bacterial small subunit ribosomal RNA
Source: RNAcentral